UCCAGGCUGCACUGAUCUCAUUUAGGGUAGCACAGAAAUUCCUGCAUGUUUGGCCUCAGCAUAUGGAUUUGCAAAAGUGAACUAGAAUGAUGUUCUAGGGAAAAAAAAAGGCAAUUUUUCUUUUUUCUUUCAGUAUCUUCUUUACUCUCACAUCUCUUUUGCUGACUUCUAAAAGCUACAGAUAGUCUCUGCUAUGACCUAAACCUGCUGAUGACUACACAGUUUGAGCGAGAACCAAAUGGUUUGAGUUCUAUGCAUUUUAGGAUUUAAAUUGAUUUUCCACACAAUCUGAUUAAAACAUGUUGCUGUCACAGUCUCAGAAGAGGAUUUUACCACAUUAUUAUCACUCUUUCCAGUAUACCUUUGUCUAGAAGCUUCUGUACUUAAGUUUGCCAGCAUACACAAUAAGGUAAGUACUCAAUUUAACAAUACUUUCCCAUGUGCUAUUGAUCUGCUACAAAGAAACUGUUUUUUGCUUCAAGGGAUACUGCUGUUUACCUUCAAUGAGAAAAUAAUUUCAACCUAAUCACUAAAAUUUGCAUGGGUAGUACAUAUUGCAAUUAGAGUACUCAAUAUUGUUAAAGGAAAAAGACUUUUGGGUCUGGAGUUUGUGGAUACUUUGAAGGAGGCAGAAAGAAAUGUCUUAAUCCUGAUUUUCUUGGGGAAAACUGUUGGAAGAAGGAGCACAGAGAAAGGGAUUUUCUAACAAAAUGAGUGGAAUAGGAAAGGAUGGCCAAAGUCUGUCUUUGAAAGGGAUAUUCCGUGAGGCUGAUGUCAUAUGUGAAUAACUCUUUUAUAUUAACAUGUUUUCUAUAGGAAAAUAAAGCCUAAUAGACUUACCUCAUUUCAACCUCUUUACAGAUAAAAUGAUAAAAAAUUCUUCAGACUUGUGUCCAGGAUAUUUUCAGACUGCUGUUCCUGAGCAUCUCUGCACAUCAGCUGCCAUGCAAGAAUGCCAUGCAUUCUUCACUGUCCAAGUGGCAGGAACUCUGUAACAGAACUGCAACCAGGAAAAAAAGAUGGCAUGUCUAAUAUUUUUGUUUGACUUUGCUUCAAAGGUAAAAUUUAAGAAAAAUGGAAAGAACAUUUGAUCUCAACUUCAUUGUAUAUAAUUUUACUUAGAUAAGACAGAAAUUAUUUAAUUUUUGAGAGGGGAGAGAUUUCCCUCUGGUUUUGACUUUUGUAUUGUCUUUCACAUGGCACACCCACUCACAGCCUUUCUGAAGGCUUGGAUUCCAACUGCUUCUUAUUUUCCAGUGAAAAACUGUCCUACAGGAACAUUUUUGACAAAUGGCGCUAGACAGUAAAGUUUAAACUCAUUAUUGAAUGAAGAAGGAAGAUAUUCUCUGUGCCAGUUUCUAACCGUAGCUGGAAAACUUCAGUUUGCAUGACUGAUUUUAGCCUUUAACCUUGCCACGAGACUGUUAGAGCAACAAGCUGGCAAGAGAAGCAACAUAAAAGGGAGGUGGAAGCUUCUUGGACACCCACGCCAAAAUAUUGAGGCUUCAUCCAGUUAAGAUGUUUUGGAGUGAACUCCGCAGAAUCAUGCUGCUACAGACUUUGGGUGGACUAUAGGGGGCUUGGACUGGUCAAACAGCUUGUCUUGUGGUCAGCUGCCUCAUUGGUUGCACAUCAAAUGCCCUGCCAAGGUUGGUGAUGAUUCUACUGAGAAGGAACAGCUUCAUCAGUGACUGCAUAAGAGCCUGGGGAUUUGCUCUGGAUUACAGGCAAGUGUCACCUCAGAUAUAUAAAAUAUGUACACAUUUCUUCAAUAGUCUCAGGUGUUGCCAUUUACAGCCUUUCCUGCUAAGCCUGUUAAAUCUGUAUAUUUAUGAAGUAAUUGUCACCAUACAAGGGAUGCAACUCUACAGUCACUCUUCUUCUCUCACUGUCCUCUCAGUCUGUGGAUCUGGCAGGUGGAUAAAACAAAUCCUCCAGGUGAGAGCAUGCAGAUCACAAUCCCUGCCAGGCUCCUUGAACCACAUCUAUUCUUCCACCAAAUCAAUUAUCCUGUGAUGUAGCAAGUGUCCAGGAAAAUCUACCCCACAAAAAGACUGAAAGACCUAUCACAAAAAUAGUGAGACCCAAGAAUACCUCUCAGACACUUUCAGUAUUUGUGACCCACAACAAGCAACAUGGAUGGAGAACAGAACAAGGGUAAAAAGGCUUUUCUAGAACGUGGGAAAGGGGAGAUAAGUCAGAGUGACAAAAAAUGGCAUUUUUCUACUCUCAUAGAAGAGAGGACUGCUCUUCAAACUUCAACUCCACAUCAGUCAGCGGCAAAUUUCAUUGGUAAGAUAUUGCCAAAACUCAAUCCCAGCACUUCCCAUAUCCACGUGGAUGGGCUGGCAGGUAACAUAGGUAUGCAUGUCUUAUGUACUGUCUUAUUUAUUGUAAAAACUAUGUAAUUGGUUUCUAUCUGCAUUGAGCUCUUUACUGAGCUCCUUACUCUUGAAGCCCUUAUGAGGGUUGUAGCAAUAGGAAUAUUGGACAUUUCAGUGAUGCCUUUUCUUACUUGCCUACGUAGUCUUCUCUGAUAUACCUGCUUUCAGAUUUCAAGUCUUUCCCUCCCUUUGAAUCACAGCUUUGUGUGACAUGUUUCAAGGCAAAUGUUCAAUCAAUGCAAAUUUUCUUUAACUCAGUUGCCGCUAACAGGAGAGGUGGUUGGUUCACACAUCUCUGCAAAAUCUGAGACUUGGAGCAUUAUUCUAGAGACUCUGGUGAUUCAGGAGUCUGUGUGUGCAGGGAGUCCUAAAUUUUGUGAGAAGCUUUCUGUUUUUCAGAGUGCAGGCAGAGGGGUUGCAAAAGUGGACCAACCCUUUAAAUAAAGUUGACUGAAGCCACCUUUGAUUGAUAAUAAACAUAAAGAAGAUCAAUAGGUCUAAGUAGUGGUGCCUAAAACCUGCACAAAAGGUGUUUCAGAGGUUUUACUUUGAGCUGAGCAUGUAGGUGUCACUAACCUCUCUAUGCUGCUGCCUCAGGCCUAAAAUGCAAACUUAGGUGGACCCUGUUUCAACCCCAUGUCACAUCAUGACAGAUACAAGUCUUCCAUAAGGUCUUUAUGUUCAUUGUCCAGUGCUGAAAUAAUUCCUGGGAAUUGAGGUUAGAGAGGUGAUGCCACCACUUCACCCAAGUAUUUCUACCUAAUCUCAGCUCCCUCUCUGAGUUAACUGGUGAGCUUGUGCUAUCCCUCAAAGGCACUCUUUCCCAUGAAGCUCAGUUCUGUUCUCAACAAAAUAUUAAUAAAUAGGUAGGAAUGUGCAUAAUUUUUAGAGUUACAGAAUAAGGAGAUUAAUAAAGAAUGACAUCUGUAGUGUACACGCAACUGUUUCUGCCAUCUUCCAUGCGAUCCCUGUACAAUUGCCCAAGCACUUGCACAAGUGCAAAGCAAGUCAUGCUGUGUGGGGAAUGGGGGUGGAAGAACUGGCAGGGAGAUGCCUUGGGAAAGUUCUGUUGUCUAAAUCAGACUGAGUUGCCAUGGUAACCUCCCAUAAUCCUUCACAACUGUUAUGCUAAUGCGCAGGGGAAUGACGUGUGUGUUAUACACACCCCUUUCUAGAACAUUCUUGGUGUUUUGAUCUCCCAUUGGUUACUCUGUUGGAGCCACCCCCUCCUCGUUCCCCAUUGGAUGGUUUUCAAUCACCCCACCUUUGCUCCUCCUCCUGCACCCUUUCCCAUUGGAUCGUUCAUACUGUAACCCCACCUACCUACGGCUGUUUAUAUACCCUGGACCUUCCUUCAACUAUUGGACUUUUUCUCUGGUGCCCUCCUGUGUAGUUGUGUACCUGCUUUUGGAUCCUGCCUGUUCUUCUUCCCUACAAUAAACACAUUGGAAUUAUCCACGACUGAGUCACUUCCUUCACCCUGUGCCUAUAGGAGCCCAACACAGCUCAGGCUGCUGAUUUGCUCUAAGUGUUCCUACCCUGGUAAAAAAAAGAACUGGAUGUGACAGCAGUCCUCAGCCUUUGAAUGUAUGAAAACUGGUGACAUCGGAAUUUGGAGAUAUGGCCAAACAUUGGAGUUUAGUGAGAAGCUGGCUGCUCUCUGGAAGUCACUAGCACAGGAACCGGGACUUUGUUGAUGCAUGAAAAAGGAAGGACAGAGCUAUGACUGGUAAUGCCUGCAGUCCUACUGCUGCUGAACUCAAUAACCAAACCACUGCCAUGCUAGGAUCAGCACAGAGAGGAGAAUGGAACAGCUGUGAUGGGAGGUGAGAUUAACAGACACCAGUGUCAGGAUAUGAAACAUGAAAAGGACAGAGUCAUGACUGUAGAGGAGGAAGUGGACACACAAAGUUGUGUGAAACCUUAAAAUCAUAGAAUCACAGAACACUUUAGUUUGAAAGGGAUCUUUAAAACAUGUCUAGUCCAGUCCCUCCAAAAAUGACAUCUUCUAUUACGGGAUAUCUUCAAGUAGUUGAGGUGGUUCAGAGUCCUUUCCAAUAUGACUUUGAAUGAGCCCCAGGAAUGGGGCAUCUACCACCCCUCUGGUCAGCCUGUUCCAAUGUUUCACCACUCUCACUGUAAAAAAAUUAUUCCUUUCAUCUAGUCUGAAUCUACCCUCUUUUGGUUUAAAACCAUUACUUCUUUUCCUGUUGCAAUUGACCCUGCUAAAAUUCUGUACCCAUCUUUCUUUUAAAACUUCUUUAAGUACUGGGGAAUUAAGGUCUCCCUGGAAUGUUUUCUCUUCAGGGUAAUCAGCCCAAAUUCUCUCCGUCCUUCUACACAGGAGAGGUGCUCCAGCCCUGUGAUCAUUUCUGUGACCUCCUUUAGACUUGCUCCAGCAAGCUGAUGUCCUUCCUGUGCUGUGGACCACAGAGCUGGAUGCAACACUCCCGGUGGGAUCUCACCAAAGCAGACGAGAGGGGCAGAAUCCUCUCCCUCAACCUACUCAGUCUUUGGAUUCAGCCCAGGAUAUAGCUGGGUCUCUGGGCUGUGAGUGUAUGUUGUGAGUCACGUCCAGCUUUUCAUCCAACAGCACCCCCAAGUCCUUCUUGGCAGGGCUGCUCUCAAUCCCUUCAACCCCAGCUAUAUUGAUACUAGGGUUGCUCCUACCCAAGUGUAGGACCCUGUUCUUGGCCUUGUUAAAACUUAUGAGUGACCCAUGGGCCACUUCUCGAGCUUGUCCAGGUCCCUCUGGAUGACAUCCCAUCCUUCAGGUGUGCCAACAGCAUGACUCAGCUUGGGGCCAUCUGCAAAUCUGCUGAGGGUGCACUCAACCCCACAGUGUCACUGAUGAAAAUAUUAAACAAUGCUAGUCCCAGUAUAGAUUCCUGAGGGGUACUACUUGUCACUGAUCUUCAUUUGAAUGCAUAUUUUUCAAAGCUCUCUGACUCUGUCCAUAGAUCCAAUGCCUUACACACCCAUGAAAUCUGUAUCCAUCCAGUUUGGAGUUCAGAAUGUUGGGUGGGACCAUGUCAAAGACAUUACAGAAAUCGAGAUAAACAUUGUUGCGGUGUGAUGUCAUAGUUUGCUUCAGAUACCCCAGGUUUCUCCCUGAAGAUUCCUUCCCCAGGUGUGUCAAUCACCUCUCCUUUCCCCACCCUGACCCCUGCUAAGUACUGUCUAUCAGACCUGGAAUUCCAGAAGGGCAUUGAGUGAUUGGGCAAGUUCAAAAGAUAAACACUACCUCUGGGGGGCAUUGAACAAUCCAGGUAUCCUUUAUCCCUUGGGACCUCCUCUCCCAUACCCGGUUGGUGGGUUCCCUCUCCAUCCCCUUCCCUUCUCCCCCAGGGGAAAGGGCGAACAGGCCACACAGUCGGGAGUUCUGUUGGAGCUGUUGCUGGAUUCAGGGGCCAUGUGGGCCAGAAUAAAAACUCUGGAAUAAAACCCUCCAUCAGAACCGACUCCUUCCUUCACCAUCGCCUUAAAGUUUCUCUGGCGCACGGAAACCUGGGGAGUGACCCUCUACGAGAGUAAGCUCCAGCCACACCACCGAAGCUCCAGCAUGCCUGAACUUGUUCCCACAUGCCCAUCUAGCUAGCCAGAAGUGUCUCUGGGGUGAAACACCACAGUUGCCACUAUUUGGCUUAGCUGCAGGGGCAGACAUCCCAUUCAGCAAUAUUGGUAUAUUCCAAUACAUCAUCCAUAGCUCUUCACCUGUCCACUCAUGCAGACACUGCAUCGGUUCACUGCAUUUUCACUGCAGCUCUGGUUGCUUCCUACCUCAAUGUCACACAUGAGCUCACUUGCACUGGUGACCAUCAGGUUCAGUAACAGAUCUCCUCUGUCAGGGCUGUCAAUUUCCUGUCUUAAGAAGUUAUCCUCUGUGCAUUCCGGCAGUCCCCUGGAUUGCCUACAGCUCACCAGAGAUGUUGGAGGUUGAAGUUCCCCAGCAGAACAAGGUCCUGUGAGCAUGAUGGCUUCUUGCUCCCGUAGCUGGAGCAAGAAGAUUUUGUAGUCAAUAGGCUCCAGGUGACCAAGAGACCUGUAAUAGGCACAAUCCAAAAGGUUCUUUCUGUUACCUCAUCCUCUGAUUCUCACCCAAAAAUUCUCAACCUGUUUGCAGCUGUUCUUCAGAGAGAGUCCUUCACAUUCCAUUCAUUUCUUAUGUAGAGGGCAACCCACACAGAGCCCUGCCUGUCCCUUCUGAACAGCCUGUAGCUGUCAGUAGCCACACUCAUAAUGAGAUUCAUCCCACCAUCUUUCAGAGAUGAUAACUAGUUCAUAUCCUUUUAGCAGCACAGUGACUUCCAGCUCCUCCUAUUUGUUACCCACAACUGCACCCACUGGUGUAGAGUCACUUCAGCUGAGCUGUCAUCUAUGUAGCCUUUUUAGAGGAAUGCUCUUUAAUCUUUCUGAGAUUUUUCACCAGUGUUCACCUCUAGGCUUCUAUUACCUCAGGAGCCCUUGAGUCAUCUCUGCAAGACUAUUAUUUUCUAUUAUCUAUGAUAUAUCAUGCACAUCAUGGCAAAUCUUUGCAAUUAAGAGGUUGAGUACCUUAAAAAUGAAGAAUAGUCAAAUAGUUUUCCAGAUGAAGAGGACUUCUGGCUGGCUUGCUACGACCCAGCAAUAUUUACCUCUAGAUUCUUGAAUUUUCCAGUCACCAGCUUUGGGGUGCCCAGUAGAUUAAUUAGUGAUGCAGAGGGCACAGAUCCAGUUUAGUGACAUGCUCAAUAAAUAUAAAAUAAAAUAUUGUUUUCACAUCUAUCUUUAAAAUAUCUGCUUAAUCAAUGAACGAAGUGUGUACCUACAUGCAGCAUUACAGUCCCUGGGUGGGCAAGGAUAGGUUGGCUUUAAAUCUACGCAGGGACUUAGCCUAUCACAUUCUGUCCUAAGCUGCAGACAUCUCACUGUUCAGAAGCUGGGCUAUGUGGGGAUCAGAUCAAUCAGCAGUUGAGACUGGGGUGUUUCAAAUUCCCUAUAUGUACUAGGUUUGGACAAUGAAACAGGCUGUUUGCUGCAUGAAACUUUGAGGUGUGUGUGUCAUCCCUGUCUCUGACCACCGACCCCAUGAAUCACAUGGCCCUAACGUAAUACCUAAGGAAUUACAUUAGAGUCCAUUCAUUUUAAUUCUUUUCAGCUAACUCUGAAGUGGUAUCACCAAAGCCAAUUCAUAACUGUAUGGGUAUUCCUCAUUUAGGCAGCUUGGUAAGAGGAUGGACAGGACAGAGAGAGAGAUGCACCACUUUACUGAGAGAGAUGCACCACUGUACUGAGAGAGAUGCACCACUUUACUAAGAGAGAUGCACUAAACAAUGACAAUACCUGUUGUACUGCAUUCAGGGGAGGUGUGUCACUGCCUUCCAAGAUAACACUGCCAUAACAAAAUCAGUAUGCCCUUGCCUCCUACCUCAGACAUCAGAAUCUAGGCACUUUAAGGUAAAUGUUUCCUUUGAAGUCAGUGAAGGUGCAAGGACACUGGAUUGAGGAGAAUCAGAGCCCUAAAAUGUUUGUGGUUGUAGAAGAUAGAAGGGAAAACCCGAAGUGGAACAAGCAACUCAAAGUGAAGAUUUCAGCUUACCCCAGUCUGGACCAAGAUCAUUGCUUUUCCCAGUCUUUGUGCCAUUUCCCUGAGCAGAAAUUCCUUGGAGCAACACAUUGAGCAUUGGAAACAGGCAUGACCAGAACAGAGCGUGAGGGUCUCCUGAACAAGAUAAUGAGCUUCAGCUAGCUUGGACCAAAGCUGCUUAAAUAGCUCCCCAUACCUUCCUUCUUCAGCUAUCACUAACAGUAAUACUUAAAAAAAGACAUUGGCAGUGAUUAAUUUUAGGUACUUACCAGCCCUGUCUGCCUGAAUUCAGGUAUGCCGUGCACUACUGCAUUGGUUCUGCUGUGGUGGGAUGCUGGGUGCAGUCAUCUGUCCUGCUGUUGCAGCUGCUAGCCUGAGGCCUUAUGAAUCCUAAUUUCAUUUUGGAAUAUGGACUUGCUGCCAAGUUUGGUAUGAUAUGUUUGCCUUGGGGUCCUAAAUGCAUGUUGCCUGCCAGACUGCCUCUUGUGAUGUUCCUGCUGUCUGCCAACCUUGUCUCCUAUUCUAGGUGCUGGCAGAGUCAUUUCGGAAAGGGAAGUGUCAGGUUCUCAGCAUAUCAAUUGAGGCUUUUGAUGUUGUGUUACACACUUGUUAGUCCCGUAGAUUCUUACAUGAGAAUGUUUUCAAAACAUUCCAGUGCUCCAGCUUUUGAGUACGCAGUGGGACAAAAGGCUAGCAUGACUCAUUGCUCACACGCAGGUAAUGCUACAGGCAGACUACACUCCUGGUCCACAUAGGUGGAGUUACAUAAGACUCCUCCCUAGGGGUGGGAGUCCUCUGCUCCUCAGAGUUGCAGUCAUUGCAGAGCUUCUCCCAAAACUCCCCCAUGCCCUGAAUUUACCGCAUCCCCUAAGUACUGCUGGGUGUUUAGAGUUUCCUUCCUUCAGAACAGAGCUGAGAGUAGUAAGCAGAAAAUAGAGGGGAAAUUCCUUGUUGUUUUCAGCUAAAUUAAAAAAAAUAAAGUUCAGAAGGCCAGGAAAUUUCUUGAUUACUUGAUUUAUUCAAAGAUCUGUGCAUCUGGGUUAUUUCUUAUCCUGAAUGAAUGUAGUAUAUUCUGAAACAUUUGUCUUUCCUUCACACCUUAAAGUAAGCAGCAUCUGUUAAAGCACACAGUGUUUAAAAUAUACACCUGUGUUACUGGGGAAACAGGACUUAUAUAGGAAAGAAAAUGUUGCCUUCUAACUAGCAUAUCCUAUAAAGCAAAAGAAAGCUCAUUAAUAUACCUCCAUUAAUUUAGGUUGGUCCCUUAGUUUCAAUAUUAUUAAUUACACAAAUUAUUGUACACCAGUUUAGUGUCAACUGUUUUUCUUUUAUUCUUUGAGAUUCUCAUUCAUUUGCAAUUUCCCACUGGAGAUCCAAACUGUGGCUUUAAAUGCAAAUAGUCACCAUGGCCAGUUUCUGCAAACCAGAAUAAAGUUAUUCAAAGGAACUAGUGGCUUCAUUUUGAUCUUCUUGUUCAUCUUCUCCUUGGAAGAAAUUUGGAAGACAAUUAAAGUUUCAUUUACAUAACACCCAGUGCUAGGGUUCUGACUUGUGCAUAUUGGACAGAAAACAAAAGGGUUAAUUUAGUCCUCUAAUCUAUUGUUAUAUGCCUAAUUAUUUUACAUGUCUUCAUUUCAUUAAUGAAUUUCUCAUUUUUCCAUGCAUCUCCUUCCCCAUUGCUUUUGUUUAAACCUCCUGGUGGGAAGAGAUAGAUUAAUUUUGUUGUGCCUUAAUGGAACUGUAUGCUACAUUAGAUUUAACCAUUUGGCAUGCACUGCCAACAUCACCAUUAUGCAUAAUGAAUUACUUUUUGUGAGUCCCAAACUAACAUAGAUCUUCAAUGUUCCUCUAAAUAUUGCAACUACACAGCUGGCAAAUAUCAUUACCUUGAACUUACAUGGAAACCUAGAGCUUGACACAAGACAUCUUCAGAAAUUUUUCCAUUAAAAAAUGGGAAUUUCUUUUAAAAAUGCAGGAGCAUUCAAGACAAGAUGUGAAAAGCUCAUUAAGCUUUGCUGUUAUCUUCCAUUAACUGUGUUUGAUAUGUGUAUGCAUGUGGGUGUGUGCAUAUCCUGGGCCUACAGCCACACGCAGAACCCCCAAUGAGGCAGUGUGUGCUUUGUGUCAGGACCAGACAAACUUCCUUGCAGUCUGCCUGUGAGUAUGGAGAUUAACAUUUGUCUCAGCUGCUGAAGCUUUUCACACGUGAACCCUUUGCCUCAGCAGUCAAUCUGAGGACCCUGACAGGAUUUCUCUCGCACAGUUUACACCAGUGGAAUGACAUAGGGAGAAAAUUGAUUAAACGUGCAAACCAAGCUUCUUCCUCUCAGGUCCAGUGUCCGUUCACCUUUGGUUUCUUUGUUUGCUCUUCAUCAGAGGUGCUCAGCCAGUUCAUCAUCAGGGCACCAUAUGCAGUACUUUAUGAAUCAGGCAGUUGGAGGCUUCUUUCACCACUUCUGCAGUCACCUGGUUAAACCUUAGGACAUGGGGAUCCCAGAUGCAAUCUACUAUAGCAGGGCCCUUUCCUAGGAGCAUGAUGGUUGAGUUACCCAAGUUGAGGAGAUAUAAAUGUGGUCCAUGCACCUGCCCAUGCACCUUGUUCCAGGACCAGUUAAAAUCUGGCUACUGCAGCCCAACCUAAAUCACAUCUGUCAUCCCAUCCACCUGGGACAUCUCACAGUCAGGGCAGUUACAAACUUGUUUGUCCAGGAGUAACAGAAGUCAUUCAAACCAAGAGACAAAUGUGACAUACCCCAGCAUGAGUAUAAUAGCUGAUAAUUGGUCAAUGUGUGCUGGAAAUCCUCUACUGGUAAUGUCUGCCUCUUUGUUCACCUCCACCAGCAUCCACUUUCAGCCUCCUCGUACCCAGCUUUGAACACUCAACUCUCUCAUUCACACGCCCCCUGUGAGCUCUCCUGUUUUUGCUGGACACAACAAAAUUAACCCUGAAGCAACACUGAACUCUCAGAUAGAGACACAGGACUCUGAAACGCUGCCUAUAUAUCGUUGCCAUGCCAGUAUAUCUGUUAUGAACACCAAUGUGUGUGUUAAGCUAAAAAAGGUUUUCAGACAAAAUCUGACAUUAGGCAAAACAAAGCACAGGACAAGCCAGUUCUAUGAACCUUUAACUGAUGUGCACAGCACUCAUCAAGGAAAGCUAGGAAUAUUCUGUGCAUAUUCCCCACAAGUUUUAAUUACAGACACUGAAACUGAGUGCAGUGUUAGACUGCAAGCAGGGACACUGACUAUAAAACUAAAUUUAACUUGUGGAGAUCUACUCCUUUUUUGUUCAAAUGUCCUUGAAAAUUACAAACAAAAUGUUUGGCAAUACCCUGAGAAGCCAAAUACUUUCUUCAGCUGGCAAGGUUCUCUCUUAAUAAAUUCUCUGUUUGCCAGUGGAAGGUACUAAUGACAAGGACUGUACAUGAAGGAAAUUAAUGGACAAAAUCUUCAUUAAAGUUAGAUUUAUGUCUACAUUUACGUAAAUGUAAAGUUGUAUUUAUUUUAGGUCUGUGAAAGAAAAAAAUUCUUGUCAAAUCUGAGCAUCUCAGCUGACAUUCUACUUAAACUGGACUGCUCUGUCACUGGAGAUUUGGAGAUCAGUAAUUUCAGGACCCUCUGUUAGUGCAUUAAUGGUGCUC
Long non-coding RNA from Motacilla alba alba, 11591 nucleotides. RefSeq lists it as uncharacterized. Lineage: Eukaryota; Metazoa; Chordata; Aves; Passeriformes; Motacillidae. The transcript has 6 exons. The record is from RefSeq and is a predicted model, not a curated record.